Molecule: unclassified non-coding RNA, 231 nt
Filed under: plant metagenome
Description: partial contains small subunit ribosomal RNA, internal transcribed spacer 1, and 5.8S ribosomal RNA
Source: RNAcentral
UCUCCGUUGGUGAACCAGCGGAGGGAUCAUUACAGAGUUGCAAAACUCCCAAACCCUUGUGAACGUUACCUAUCCCGUUGCUUCGGCGGGCGGCCCGGGCCCCGCGCCCGGCGCCCCCCGGCCCCCCGUGGGCGCCCGCCGGAGGUAAACCAAACCCUUGAAUUGCAUGGCCUCUCUGAGUCUUCUGUACUGAAUAAGUCAAAACUUCCAACAACGGAUCUCUUGGUUCUG